RNAcentral lists this ribosomal RNA (465 nucleotides) under uncultured bacterium. Its description in RNAcentral is "partial 16S ribosomal RNA". It matches the Rfam family "Bacterial small subunit ribosomal RNA", at positions 339 to 795 of the family's 1533-position model. The record is from RNAcentral.
CUACGGGUGGCUGCAGUGAGGAAUUUUGCGCAAUGGGGGCAACCCUGACGCAGCAACGCCGCGUGAGUGAAGAAGGCCUUUGGGUCGUAAAGCUCUGUCAACAGGGAAGAAGUUACUAUGUAUUAAUAGUAUGUAGUAUUGACGGUACCUGUGGAGGAAGCAUCGGCUAACUCCGUGCCAGCAGCCGCGGUAAUACGGGGGAUGCAAGCGUUAUUCGGAAGCAUUGGGCGUAAAGGGCACGCAGGCGGCUCUGUCAGUCAGAUGUGAAAGCCCGGGGCUCAACCCCGGACGUGCAUUUGAAACAGCAGGGCUUGAGUACGGUAGAGGAAAGCGGAAUUCCUGGUGUAGAGGUGAAAUUCGUAGAUAUCAGGAGGAACACCGGUGGCGAAGGCGGCUUUCUGGACCGAAACUGACGCUGAGGUGCGAAGGCGUGGGUAGCGAACAGGAUUAGAUACCCGCGUAGUC